CGUAGGGUGCGAGCGUUAAUCGGAAUUACUGGGCGUAAAGCGUGCGCAGGCGGUUUUGUAAGACAGGCGUGAAAUCCCCGGGCUCAACCUGGGAACUGCGUUUGUGACUGCAAGGCUAGAGUAUGGCAGAGGGGGUGGAAUUCCACGUGUAGCAGUGAAAUGCGUAGAGAUGUGGAGGAACACCCGAUGGCGAAGGCAGCCCCCUGGGCCAAUACUGACGCUCAUGCACGAAAGCGUGGGUAGCAAACAGGAUUAGAUACCCUGGUAGUCCACGCCCUAAACGAUGUCAACUAGGUGUUGGGUGGGUAAAACCAUUUAGUACCGGAGCUAACGCGUGAAGUUGACCGCCUGGGGAGUACGGCCGCAAGGUUA
This 372-nucleotide ribosomal RNA is filed under the name uncultured organism. RNAcentral describes it as "bacterial SSU rRNA". It matches the Rfam family "Bacterial small subunit ribosomal RNA", at positions 526 to 896 of the family's 1533-position model. The record is from RNAcentral.